This 433-nucleotide ribosomal RNA is filed under the name uncultured bacterium. RNAcentral's name for it is "partial 16S ribosomal RNA". It matches the Rfam family "Bacterial small subunit ribosomal RNA", at positions 29 to 507 of the family's 1533-position model. The record is from RNAcentral.
AACGAACGCUGGCGGCAUGCCUAACACAUGCAAGUCGAACGAGACCUUCGGGUCUAGUGGCGCACGGGUGCGUAACGCGUGGGAACCUUCCCUUAUGUUCGGAAUAACUCUCCGAAAGGGGUGCUAAUACCGGAUAAUGUCUUCUGACCAAAGAUUUAUCGCCUUUGGAUGGUCCCGAGUUGAAUUAGCUAGUGGUUAGGGUAAAAGCCUACCAAGGCGACGAUCCAUAGCUGGUCUGAGAGGAUGAUCAGCCACACUGGGACUGAGACACGGCCCAGAAUCCUACGGGAGGCAGCAGUGGGGAAUAUUGGAAAAUGGGCGAAAGCAUGAUCCAGCAAUGCCGCGUGAGUGAUGAAGGCCUUAGGGUUGUAAAGCUCUUUUAACCGGGAUGAUAAUGACAGUACCGGGAGAAUAAGCUCCGGCUAACUCCGUG